GCCAGCAUGGUGUAGUGGUUUGAGUGCUGGACUAUGGGUUUGGAGACCUGGGUUUGAUUCCCAGCUUGGUCA
Molecule: non-coding RNA, 72 nt
Organism: Phrynosoma platyrhinos (Desert horned lizard)
Lineage: Eukaryota; Metazoa; Chordata; Lepidosauria; Squamata; Phrynosomatidae
Source: the annotation of a GenBank genome assembly